Long non-coding RNA from Drosophila miranda, 1578 nucleotides. RefSeq lists it as uncharacterized. The record is from RefSeq and is a predicted model, not a curated record. NCBI's taxonomy places the organism in Eukaryota, Metazoa, Arthropoda, Insecta, Diptera, Drosophilidae. The transcript has 5 exons.
CAGGGGUUUGAAGUUUGAAAAGUGCUCUGGUUCAUUUAAGCUGUGAGUCACUAUAUGUAUGUAUGUAUGUAUAUAUGUAUACAUAUAUACUUCAGCGGUCGGCACGCACACAUUACAUUGCGUUUGUGUGCGUUGACAGAAGUCAAACUAAAACAAAAAGUAUUAUUGUGUUGCUGCCGACCACUGUUACAAACGCGUUGUGCCGGGUCGCAGUUUGACAUUAUCGUUCAUGUUCUAUUACGUGCUCCGGUGUUUCUUGCGAAUCAUGCCCGCUUUAAGUCCGUUUGCGAGACUUUGGUCGUCGCUCGGUUUUUGACCGGUAAAUGCUCGUUUCGAAGUCCGUCUGCGAGCAUUGGCCUGUGCCGUGUAGGUGUACAUGUAUGAAAACAAAAGGUGAAGCGGAGAUUGAAAUAAAUUAUGACUCUGUCAAACGCACUUUGCAAAGAAAAAGACAGCCUUUCUUGCCAAAGCCUCCAUCUUCUGCAGAGAAUGUUCUGGAAGCUUUUCAAGACGAAAAUAUUAUGAACCGUUUUGGAAUAGCCAAGGGAAAUACUGCAAAUCAGUUCUAUAAAAAAAGUGUACGCAUCGAGCUCGUUUGCUUAUUGCAUAUUUUCAUCAGACAAGAUAACCCCUUUUGUUUUGUUUUGAUGACUCGCAAAACGGAGCUGUGUUAUCAGCACUUAUUCACAUAUGUAUAUAGACUCGAACAUUUGCUGCCUUAAAGGAGCAUCCUUUAUAUCAGAUUACGAAAAGGCAAUGCGUAACGCGUUAAAAGGUCUGCAUCCCAACAUGAAUUUUUACGCCUGUUGGUUUCAUUUUACUCAAGCAUGCAAGAAAAAUCGAGUGGUUUUGAAAAUACGCUGAAAUGCAAUAAGAAAGCUUACAUGCUAUUUAUGAAAUUUUUGCACUUGCCGCUUUUACCAGAAAGCAAAAUUGUCGAAGCAUUUAACCUUCUAAAAGGCGAAGCAAUAAACUUAAAUAAGAAUCUGUUUUCUCCAUUUUUAAAAUAUUUUAAUAGACAGUGGCUUAAAAAGGAGGGACCAAAAAGCAUAUCCGUGUUUAAGAGGUCAACUAGAACCACGAGCUCAGUAGAAGCUUAUAAUUUGAAUUUGGAAAAUAAAAUUCGAGCAAAUGGGCACUUUUUUAAAUUUGUUCAAUGUCUUAUUGAUGCAGAAAAUGAAAAAAGUCGCGAGUUUGCUUUACUCUUUCAAAAUGGUGGUAAUGGAAAUCAGACACAGAAGAAGAAAUUACGUGAUCGCUCAAAAAAAAUAAUGGACGCAAUGGAUCUUUUUGAAAGAGGUGAAAUAGAUAUACAGGGAUUUCUGACAUGCACUGUUUCCUUAGCAGGACAUCUUUGAAGGGGUGGACAAUGAAAGCAAUUUAACUGGAAUGUCUUCUGAUAUGAAAUCUUCCACAUCGUCACUUUCAUCGAAUGCUUCUCAUUCAAGUCAGUCAUCUGAUAAAUCAUUGGUUCAAAUGAAUCCAUGCAAUGUGUGCCUAUGUAACCCAAAGUCUGUGUUGUUGCGCCCGUGCAAUCACGUAAACAUUUGUGGUACAUGUUGGGAUCAAAUUGUGGCC